Molecule: ribosomal RNA, 234 nt
Filed under: Leucodon coreensis
Lineage: Eukaryota; Viridiplantae; Streptophyta; Bryopsida; Hypnales; Leucodontaceae
Description: 5.8S ribosomal RNA
Rfam family: 5.8S ribosomal RNA (bases 5-157)
About the family: 5.8S ribosomal RNA (5.8S rRNA) is a component of the large subunit of the eukaryotic ribosome. It is transcribed by RNA polymerase I as part of the 45S precursor that also contains 18S and 28S rRNA.
Source: RNAcentral
AUACAACUCUCAGCAACGGAUAUCUUGGCUCUUGCAACGAUGAAGAACGCAGCGAAAUGCGAUACGUAGUGUGAAUUGCAGAAUUCCGCGAAUCAUCGAGUCUUUGAACGCAAGUUGCGCCCGAGGCUUGUCCGAGGGCAUUUCCGCUAGAGCGUCACCGCGCCCCCCCCACCGAUCCACUCCCGGCGAGUCGGGUCGAGUGAAAGUGGCCAUCCCGGACGGAGGCGAUGCCUU